GAAAUGCGAUAAGUAAUGUGAAUUGCAGAAUUCAGUGAAUCAUCGAAUCUUUGAACGCACAUUGCGCCCUCUGGUAUUCCGGGGGGCAUGCCUGUUCGAGCGUCAUUUCACCACUGAAGCAUGGCUUGGUAUUAGGCACUCGGCCGUCCCGCGUGGCGGUCGGGCCUCAAAACCUUCGGCGAAGUCACACCGGCUUUGGGCGCAGUAGAAUCAUCUUAAACGCUCUGUGAGUCCGGUCGAGUCUUUUGCCGCGAACGAUUCUCACGAAUCAUUUUUUUAAAGGUUGACCUCGGAUCAGGUAGGGAUACCCGCUGAACUUAA
Molecule: unclassified non-coding RNA, 321 nt
Filed under: uncultured Mycosphaerella
Lineage: Eukaryota; Fungi; Ascomycota; Dothideomycetes; Mycosphaerellales; Mycosphaerellaceae
Description: sequence contains ITS1
Rfam family: 5.8S ribosomal RNA (bases 1-105)
Source: RNAcentral